UACGUAGGGUGCGAGCGUUGUCCGGAAUUAUUGGGCGUAAAGAGCUCGUAGGCGGUGUGUCACGUCGGCCGUGAAAACCUGCAGCUUAACUGUGGGCGUGCGGUCGAUACGGGCAUCACUGGAGUUCGGCAGGGGAGACUGGAAUUCCUGGUGUAGCGGUGAAAUGCGCAGAUAUCAGGAGGAACACCGGUGGCGAAGGCGGGUCUCUGGGCCGAUACUGACGCUGAGGUGCGAAAGCGUGGGGAGCAAACAGG
RNAcentral lists this ribosomal RNA (254 nucleotides) under uncultured bacterium. RNAcentral describes it as "partial 16S ribosomal RNA". It matches the Rfam family "Bacterial small subunit ribosomal RNA", at positions 524 to 776 of the family's 1533-position model. The record is from RNAcentral.